Molecule: small nucleolar RNA, 126 nt
Filed under: Ochotona princeps (American pika)
Lineage: Eukaryota; Metazoa; Chordata; Mammalia; Lagomorpha; Ochotonidae
Description: Small nucleolar RNA U3 (ENSOPRG00000023610.1)
Source: RNAcentral
GAGACUAUACUUCCAGGGAUCAUUUCUAUAGUCUGUGAUAACUUUGCCAUCAAUAUAUUUUUAAGUCCCUAGAUUCCAAUGUACAAUCAAGUUUGAAAUCCAUUGACCAAUGACGAAGACCUGGAG